Molecule: ribosomal RNA, 403 nt
Filed under: Acinetobacter baumannii
Lineage: Bacteria; Pseudomonadati; Pseudomonadota; Gammaproteobacteria; Moraxellales; Moraxellaceae
Description: partial 23S ribosomal RNA
Rfam family: Bacterial large subunit ribosomal RNA
Source: RNAcentral
CGUAGAGAAAUCGAGUCUUAAUAGGGCGUUUAGUUGCUGGGUAUAGACCCGAAACCAGGCGAUCUAUCCAUGAGCAGGUUGAAGGUUGGGUAACACUAACUGGAGGACCGAACCCACUGUCGUUGAAAAGCCAGGGGAUGACUUGUGGAUAGGGGUGAAAGGCUAAUCAAGCCUGGUGAUAGCUGGUUCUCCCCGAAAGCUAUUUAGGUAGCGCCUCGGACGAAUACCAUAGGGGGUAGAGCACUGUUUCGGCUAGGGGGUCAUCCCGACUUACCAAACCGAUGCAAACUCCGAAUACCUAUGAGUACUAUCCGGGAGACAGACUGCGGGUGCUAACGUCCGUAGUCAAGAGGAAAACAAUCCAGACCGCCAGCUAAGGCCCCAAAAUCAUAGUUAAGUGGGA